ACCGUAAAAAGUACUAAGGAUUUUCAUUUUCAAUAUUCUCCUCCAUUAUGAUUUCCAAUACCAAAUGUCAUUUUCUACAUUAUCUAAUCUCCUGAAGAUCAUACCUCCAAGCUUCAAGAUUGACCUGUCUAUCUAAAAAAAAUAAAAGGGAGUGGAUUAUGUCCUCAACUAUUUCAUAAUCCUGGGUCAAUAGCGUCUAAGAUUGUGUAGCAGCAUAUAAUCAAAAUGAUUUUC
This 234-nucleotide long non-coding RNA is filed under the name Trifolium pratense (red clover). RNAcentral's name for it is "long non-coding RNA (TPRA_LNC012486)". Lineage: Eukaryota; Viridiplantae; Streptophyta; Magnoliopsida; Fabales; Fabaceae. The record is from RNAcentral.